Molecule: non-coding RNA, 26 nt
Filed under: Rattus norvegicus (Norway rat)
Lineage: Eukaryota; Metazoa; Chordata; Mammalia; Rodentia; Muridae
Source: RNAcentral
UAACCAUGUGCCUCUCUACUCCUCCA